UGAUAGGAUAGAAAGAUAGGGACAGGUGACACACAUAGAGGGAGAGAGUAAGAUGAUAGGAUAGACAGAUAGGGACAGGUGACACACAGAGGGAGAGAGUAAGAUGAUAGGAUAGACAGAUAGGGACAGGUGACACACAUAGAGGGAGAGAGUAAGAUGAUAGGAUAGAAAGAUAGGGACAGGUGACACACAUAGAGGGAGAGAGUAAGAUGAUAGGAUAGAAAGAUAGGGACAGGUGACACACAUAGAGGGAGAGAGUAAGAUGAUAGGAUAGAAAGAUAGGGACAGGUGACACACAUAGAGGGAGAGAGUAAGAUGAUAGGAUAGAAAGAUAGGGACAGGUGACACACAUAGAGGGAGAGAGUAAGAUGAUAGGAUAGAAAGAUAGGGACAGGUGACACACAUAGAGGGAGAGAGUAAGAUGAUAGGAUAGAAAGAUAAGGACAGGUGACACACAGGGAGAGAGAGUAAGAUGAUAGGAUA
Molecule: long non-coding RNA, 483 nt
Organism: Pecten maximus
Lineage: Eukaryota; Metazoa; Mollusca; Bivalvia; Pectinida; Pectinidae
Exons: 3
Source: RefSeq, a predicted model, not a curated record